GUAGGUGAACCUGCGGAAGGAUCAUUACCGAGUUCAUGCCCUGAAAAGGGUAGAUCUCCCACCCUUUGUAUACCUUACCUUUGUUGCUUUGGCGGGCCGCCUAGCUACUGGCUUCGGCUGGUAAGUGCCCGCCAGAGGACCCAAAACCCUGAAUUAUUAGUGUCGUCUGAGUAAAAUAUUUAAUAUUUAAAACUUUCAACAACGGAUCUCUUGGCUCUGGCAUCGAUGAAGAACGCAGCAUCUGACUGAC
This 250-nucleotide unclassified non-coding RNA is filed under the name plant metagenome. Its description in RNAcentral is "partial contains small subunit ribosomal RNA, internal transcribed spacer 1, and 5.8S ribosomal RNA". The record is from RNAcentral.